UCCAGCAGAGUUGUGUGAGGGUGAGGGUGAGGGUAGUUUGGCCGAGGAUGACACCUAGUGGGAUCAUGUUAGAAAAGGAAUGUGUUGUAUAUGUUCUAAUACCAAUAUUGAAUCUUUACUGUACAGGUCUUACUGUUCAUUCUAUCCAAUAGGGUAGCUGGAUGCCUAAUUGUCGAACCAAUAGAGAAGGCAUUCAAAGUCAUCUCAAAUUCAGCAGACAAUGAUGCUAUUAACACAAAAGAACAACGAACCAAACCAACCAUCCUCUAAUUUGGGGAUAUUAGUUUUCAGAGGGAGACAGUGAAAAGAUCUCAUUCUGCUAGUAAUACUAACCUGUUGGAUGGAGACCUUGGUAGUGCAGUUGUUUGCGAGGAGGUAGCAGUGCCGGCUGUCUGUGGCAUUAGAGCAAUUUUGGUGUCUCCUGUCAACAGAAGAAAAUGAAUAGCCACUCAGUUGCUGGAUGAAGUGAGCUAUCACCCAAUACCAGUUGUGUUCUCUGAGGCAAAGGGAUCAUGUAUAUGGGAUCCUGAAGGCAAAUGGUAUCUAGACUCUCUCUGCUUAUUCUGCAGUUAAUCAGUGCUGCUGCCUCUUCAAUGUCUGCACUAAAUCAGCCAACCGUUCGAGUUCAGGCUAUCAUUGCUAAAGGUGUACCGAGUCAGAUGCUAAGCAAUUGAUUGUGGCUAUCAUUGCAUUAUUUUCUUAUGAUUGAGUUGUGGCUAUCAUUGCAUUAUUUGCUUCUGAAAAUUUGAGAAACUUCAUGUUGCAGAAACUAUUAGUACUAAAGAAUUAUGUCAACAUGUAAUAAGAAGAAUCACUAUAACAUAUCUGUUGUGUAUGUCUCACAAUGUGGUUAUCUAGGCUAUCAAAAAGUGGUUAAAACAGCUAGUGACCAUAACUCUUUUAACAAGAUUCCUCAAGUUCACUUACUUUGGUUCAGCUGCUGAGUUAGUUAAGUUGAUUUUUUAGUUUUGUUUUCGGGUUGGUUCUUUUGUAUUUUGGUGCACGUAUAUAAGUGAACCUUGCAUCAUUAUUUAUGUACACAGAUUUAGAGAGCACUAAGAGAAAAAGAAGAGAGAAAGAGAGAGUUCAGUGAGUUGUAGAGGUUGGAGUUAAAGAGAGAGCAUUAUUUAUGUACACUGUUGUUGAUGAUAGUGUUGAAUGUUUUAAACUAAUUUGUGGAUUGUUAAUACAAUGUUGAAUGUUCUUA
Humulus lupulus (European hop) is the source of this 1207-nucleotide long non-coding RNA. RefSeq lists it as uncharacterized. The record is from RefSeq and is a predicted model, not a curated record. The transcript is spliced from 4 exons. NCBI's taxonomy places the organism in Eukaryota, Viridiplantae, Streptophyta, Magnoliopsida, Rosales, Cannabaceae.